This is a long non-coding RNA of Engraulis encrasicolus (European anchovy), 1349 nucleotides long. RefSeq lists it as uncharacterized. The record is from RefSeq and is a predicted model, not a curated record. NCBI's taxonomy places the organism in Eukaryota, Metazoa, Chordata, Actinopteri, Clupeiformes, Engraulidae. The transcript is spliced from 6 exons.
CGCGAGAGGUGACAUGAAUUUCCUCACGCGCGCGAGCAGAAAUAUGAAUAUUUAAAUUAUCUCCUCCCACUGGUUAGCAUAACAAAUGAGGCGGAAGUUUGUUUAGUCCAUAAUAGUCAAACACAGAUCUCAGAUCUCAAUUGUUGAUAGACUAUCGUUGCUACGGUGACUGCAACCGACCACCUUUGAAACACAACUGAAACGCAACUCACGGCUGCUGCUGACAAGGGCAUUCACCUCUUUAUUCGUAAACCCAUUUUAUUUUUUGGUGGAUGAAAACAUUGUGUCAAUAUGCUAUGUCUAUGUUCGCCUUAUUCACCCGGAACGUUCUAAAGACGUUGAGGGGUACACUUCAGGGGUACAUUCGGCAACGCACCAGCUGUCAUGGCGCCUCACUGUUGUGUGCCCAAAUGUUCGUCCUCAAAGAGAAAAAAAUCCUUCCGUGGACAGACUUUCCACCGUUUCCCCAAAGAGCAGGCACUUCGCCGUGAAUGUAUAAAUCACAUCAAGAGGGAUCCUGGUCCAUAUUUCAAGAUCAACACUGAGACCAAGGUUUGCUCUGAGCACUUUGAGAAGGAGUGUUUUGUAAAGACCGCCCGUGGUAUCACAAAGCUUAUAAAGGAUGCUGUGCCAACUAUCGCCUGGACUUCAGAGAGGCCAAAGAGGAGAAUCAUCAUUCGCAGACCGAGAGAUGAUGAACCAUUCCUGAAGUUGGACGCCAGAAUGCAGGAAGGUGCUGUUUAAGAGCCUAGGCGGUGGAAGAAGCACUUGCAGGUAUGCUACCGACCAGGCUCCUCAACAUCAAUCCGAGACGGAAGAUGAAACGGGAUGAAGCAGUUAGAUUGAGGAUAACGUACCUCAACAGUCUUCUUCAGAUUCUCUACAAACACAGUCUGAGUGGUGAUUAGAACAUGCCUGGCAUCCAAGGGUGUGGCCAGUUUGUUAACCCUUUACACUCUACACUUUACAAUUAGAAUUAUUGUACACUGUCUGGACAAGAUGUAGAAUACUACUGAGCGACAGUGAUAUGUCAUGUUCUUAAUACUGUUAUAUCCUGUCAUUACAGACAAGGCGGCCGGAAACUUUGAUGACCUCAAUGACACUGGCUAGGUGAAGGACAUCAACAAAAUGGCAUCAGGUCACCAGACAUCAGCUCAUAAUCCACAACGUCAUCAACCAUUUUGCGCCAAAAAUGCAGCCGUUCACAUACCAUGGCAUCCUAAGCAGGCAGCACUACACUACUGUGCAACAGUGAGAGAGAGCGGGCAAGGACAAGUAAAGCGGACCUACACUACAGCAAGACUUUGACACUUCUCCACGUUAGAGGCAGUCAUCACCCCCACCGUUUA